GAUGAACGCUGGCGGCGUGCCUAAUACAUGCAAGUCGAGCGAACAGACGAGGAGCUUGCUCCUCUGACGUUAGCGGCGGACGGGUGAGUAACACGUGGAUAACCUACCUAUAAGACUGGGAUAACUUCGGGAAACCGGAGCUAAUACCGGAUAAUAUAUUGAACCGCAUGGUUCAAUAGUGAAAGACGGUUUUGCUGUCACUUAUAGAUGGAUCCGCGCCGCAUUAGCUAGUUGGUAAGGUAACGGCUUACCAAGGCAACGAUGCGUAGCCGACCUGAGAGGGUGAUCGGCCACACUGGAACUGAGACACGAUCCAGACUCCUACGGGAGGCAGCAGUAGGGAAUCUUCCGCAAUGGGCGAAAGCCUGACGGAGCAACGCCGCGUGAGUGAUGAAGGUCUUCGGAUCGUAAAACUCUGUUAUUAGGGAAGAACAAAUGUGUAAGUAACUAUGCACGUCUUGACGGUACCUAAUCAGAAAGCCACGGCUAACUACGUG
This 497-nucleotide ribosomal RNA is filed under the name uncultured bacterium. Its description in RNAcentral is "partial 16S ribosomal RNA". It matches the Rfam family "Bacterial small subunit ribosomal RNA", at positions 28 to 507 of the family's 1533-position model. The record is from RNAcentral.